RNAcentral lists this ribosomal RNA (668 nucleotides) under Escherichia coli. Its description in RNAcentral is "partial 23S ribosomal RNA". It matches the Rfam family "Bacterial large subunit ribosomal RNA", at positions 10 to 720 of the family's 2925-position model. The record is from RNAcentral. Lineage: Bacteria; Pseudomonadati; Pseudomonadota; Gammaproteobacteria; Enterobacterales; Enterobacteriaceae.
ACUAAGCGUACACGGUGGAUGCCCUGGCAGUCAGAGGCGAUGAAGGACGUGCUAAUCUGCGAUAAGCGUCGGUAAGGUGAUAUGAACCGUUAUAACCGGCGAUUUCCGAAUGGGGAAACCCAGUGUGUUUCGACACACUAUCAUUAACUGAAUCCAUAGGUUAAUGAGGCGAACCGGGGGAACUGAAACAUCUAAGUACCCCGAGGAAAAGAAAUCAACCGAGAUUCCCCCAGUAGCGGCGAGCGAACGGGGAGGAGCCCAGAGCCUGAAUCAGUGUGUGUGUUAGUGGAAGCGUCUGGAAAGGCGCGCGAUACAGGGUGACAGCCCCGUACACAAAAAUGCACAUACUGUGAGCUCGAUGAGUAGGGCGGGACACGUGGUAUCCUGUCUGAAUAUGGGGGGACCAUCCUCCAAGGCUAAAUACUCCUGACUGACCGAUAGUGAACCAGUACCGUGAGGGAAAGGCGAAAAGAACCCCGGCGAGGGGAGUGAAAAAGAACCUGAAACCGUGUACGUACAAGCAGUGGGAGCACGCUUAGGCGUGUGACUGCGUACCUUUUGUAUAAUGGGUCAGCGACUUAUAUUCUGUAGCAAGGUUAACCGAAUAGGGGAGCCGAAGGGAAACCGAGUCUUAACUGGGCGUUAAGUUGCAGGGUAUAGACCCGAAA